CCUACGGGAGGCUGCAGUGAGGAAUAUUGGUCAAUGGACGAGAGUCUGAACCAGCCAAGUAGCGUGAAGGAUGACUGCCCUAUGGGUGGUAAACUUCGUUUAUAUGGGAAUAAAAUGUUCCACGUGUGGGAUUUUGUAUGUACCAUAUGAAUAAGGAUCGGCUAACUCCGUGCCAGCAGCCGCGGUAAUACGGAGGAUCCGAGCGUUAUCCGGAUUUAUUGGGUUUAAAGGGAGCGUAGGUGGGUUGUUAAGUCAGUUGUGAAAGUUUGCGGCUCAACCGUAAAAUUGCAGUUGAAACUGGCAGUCUUGAGUACAGUAGAGGUGGGCGGAAUUCGUGGUGUAGCGGUGAAAUGCUUAGAUAUCACGAAGAACUCCGAUUGCGAAGGCAGCUCACUGGACUGCAACUGACACUGAGGCUCGAAAGUGUGGGUAUCAAACAGGAUUAGAUACCCGUGUAGUC
RNAcentral lists this ribosomal RNA (460 nucleotides) under uncultured bacterium. RNAcentral's name for it is "partial 16S ribosomal RNA". It matches the Rfam family "Bacterial small subunit ribosomal RNA", at positions 338 to 795 of the family's 1533-position model. The record is from RNAcentral.